Molecule: long non-coding RNA, 532 nt
Organism: Tachyglossus aculeatus (Australian echidna)
Lineage: Eukaryota; Metazoa; Chordata; Mammalia; Monotremata; Tachyglossidae
Exons: 3
Source: RefSeq, a predicted model, not a curated record
UAAGCAAGUAAUCUGAACUGGAAUUUAGUCGCCCGAUAAUCCUGGAUUAACAGCAAAAUUAGAGGUCAGAGUUGGAUAGCUAGGAAAGAGAAGAGCCAGCAUGCGCUGCAGCUCUGAGCAUCUGGGAACAGUUGCUAGACAGGAAAGCGUAGCUGGAGAGCUCGGCUGGGAAGGUGCAUCCUUUUACAAGUCUUCUGUCUCUAAAACGCAGUUGUACAGAAGAUCGAAAGGACUCAAGCUCCGCUGAGAAUAGUCAGGACUAAAUGGAGGGUCGUUGCCUAGGGAAGCAGUGUGGUCUUGGAGAGUCCAAAGACUUGGCCAAAGAGGGCUUUUGGAGAGAGAGUGGAAACUUCUCCGUGCGACAGCUAGCGCUACAGUCAACUCCUUUGCGCAGGACUUGGGACUGUGGCUCAUCCUGCACUCCCAACAGAAGACAUCGUUGUCGUCUACGUUGUCGUCGCUGUCAUCAUCAUCAUCAUCAUGAGCGUAUACAGUACAGUACCUCAAAGUUUUAACCAGAAGGUGGGGCUCU